UAGGGAAUCUUCGGCAAUGGACGAAAGUCUGACCGAGCAACGCCGCGUGAGUGAAGAAGGUUUUCGGAUCGUAAAACUCUGUUGUUAGAGAAGCACAAGGACGUUAGUAACUGAACGUCCCCUGACGGUAUCUAACCAGAAAGCCACGGCUAACUACGUGCCAGCAGCCGCGGUAAUACGUAGGUGGCAAGCGUUGUCCGGAUUUAUUGGGCGUAAAGCGAGCGCAGGCGGUUUCUUAAGUCUGAUGUGAAAGCCCCCGGCUCAACCGGGGAGGGUCAUUGGAAACUGGGAGACUUGAGUGCAGAAGAGGAGAGUGGAAUUCCAUGUGUAGCGGUGAAAUGCGUAGAUAUAUGGAGGAACACCAGUGGCGAAGGCGGCUCUCUGGUCUGUAACUGACGCUGAGGCUCGAAAGCGUGGGGAGCAAACAGG
Molecule: ribosomal RNA, 429 nt
Filed under: Gemmatimonadota bacterium
Lineage: Bacteria; Pseudomonadati; Gemmatimonadota
Description: Gemmatimonadetes bacterium partial 16S ribosomal RNA
Rfam family: Bacterial small subunit ribosomal RNA
Source: RNAcentral